RNAcentral lists this long non-coding RNA (752 nucleotides) under Homo sapiens (human). Its description in RNAcentral is "HSALNT0363470". The record is from RNAcentral. Lineage: Eukaryota; Metazoa; Chordata; Mammalia; Primates; Hominidae.
AUCCUCCUGCCUCGGCCUGCCAAAGUGCUGGGAUUACAGGCGUGAGCCACCACGCCGGGCCUUUCCCCGGGAAUGCUGUGGUAGAGGGACCCGCAGAGGCCCCGAGGCUGCCUGCAUGUGUGUGUUGGGAGGAUCUGCGCUGAGGGUAGGUAGGAGUUGGGCAGGCCAGGACAGGAAGGAGGCAGAGGGCAUGUCCCAUGCCCGUGCAGAGGGAGGACACGCAUGGUAGACCAGGACGAGGACAAGGGCAGGCUCAGUGUGUGCAAAGGGGACAGUGGUUUGGGAUUUGCAUGCAGAUGCCCGAGCCUCCAAAGGACCUGUGGGCCACAGGGAGACCCUGGGGGAGUUCAAGCUGAGGAGUGGAGAGGGCUUUGGGCUGGUCAGCAGGUGCUCAGAGGAGAGGGGCUGGCCCUAGAGAGAAGGGAGGUCUUGGGAUGGUGGCCCACACCUGACCCUGGCCCUUCAUCAGGUGAUUCCUGCGUGGAUGCCUGCGGGGAUUCCUGCGUGGAUUGGGGAAGUCCUGCAGCAUUACAGAAUUGUUACCCAACGCCAGGGCCUUGGUCCAGAGUCCUGUUGCUAGAUGCACAGAAAGCAAAUCACUGAGAUCUGGGUCAGGGCUUGUCUGAUGUGGGGAAAGCGGACUGCCCCCAGUGGAUUCAGACGUCACUUCAUGGCAUGAGACCAGCAUUACCCACAAUGGCAGUGGCAGCAGAUGGAGGAGAUGGAGCAGAAGGCAGCAGAGGGCGUCCCAG